Molecule: transfer RNA, 64 nt
Organism: Cavia porcellus (domestic guinea pig)
Lineage: Eukaryota; Metazoa; Chordata; Mammalia; Rodentia; Caviidae
Rfam family: tRNA
About the family: Transfer RNA (tRNA) molecules are approximately 80 nucleotides in length.
Source: Rfam
AGGGAUUUAGCUCAGUGGCCUAAGUGUCUGCCUGGCAAGCACAAGAUUGUGAGUUCAAUCCCUG